AUAGAUAAUUUUGUGCCUUAGUGUAUGCUGCCAUUAGUGUAUGCUGCCAUAGCCACGGUAUAAGGGGAAAAUAUCUGCGGUGAAAGUGAGCGUGGCAAGUUGCGUCCUCAGAAAGAGAGUGCUUCCUGUGCGCAGGUGUGUUCAACUGUCAAGAUCAUCCAUACAUUUUUCAUGCCAGCUCUUCUUUGAUUCCUUUGGAAGCAGCCAUCAGACUUAGCAAAUAAUAAAACAUUAGCGGUAUUGAAUCAAUCACAAUACUUCCUUUCUUCAAUUCCAGUCCACUCGGCCUCUUCAGUCCCGGAGGUGCUAUAUUAAUUUUGCACAAUCCAUCCAACUCAAGAUUCCUUCAACCACUAUCCAAACAAUUGCAGUCACAUUGAUAAUAUUAACUAUCUACAGUUAUAAAAAUCAAAGCUGACGGUCGGCAAACAAACAAAUAAACAGCGGUGUCAAAAAUAAACAGCUUCAAAAAAUCUGAAAAAAAACGCCCAGUUCUCAACUAACGUUGUCAGAUUUUGAUUAACUGAAUUCAAAAGCGCUUUUUGAAAUGUUGAAGUCCAAUUUGGCGCCAAUUUUUCUCCUCUCAGCUCUGGUUGUUGGGUUGUGUUUCUUGGGCGACUGCGGAGCGAGAAGACACUUCCGUCCAGUGUGGAGUCACAAGCGACUGUCCGAGGGAAUAAGCGGGACCAACAUGUACCCCUACCAAACGGUAGAGGCCAGAAAACGAGGAGCUGCUGAUGUGUUUGGGAUUCUGAAUGAUUAUCCCGACGAAUCUGAAGACGAGGUUGAAAAAGAACGUUUGAGACGAAUUGCAGAAGAGAUAGCAGACGAAUUAGACAGAGCUGAACAAGAAGAAGAAGAGGAAGACGAUGAAGUUGAGGAAGGAGGGCGUGAAGAAACUGAAGACAACGACGAGGAAGAUGAGAUUGUCAAAAAGCGGCUUGUCCGUCCAUUCUCGUAUAAAAUGAAUCCACAAAAGUAAAGAUCCUUCUAGACAGUCAUUUCACAUCGAGAACACCUCAAGGCCACAGAAGGAAUGCUAAUUUUCACUAAUUUGUUGUUCACCACUUAUUUGUAUCAACAUUCAAAGAAAUUCACUAAUUUAGCUAUG
Long non-coding RNA from Symsagittifera roscoffensis, 1111 nucleotides. RefSeq lists it as uncharacterized. The transcript is spliced from 2 exons. NCBI's taxonomy places the organism in Eukaryota, Metazoa, Xenacoelomorpha, Acoela, Convolutidae. The record is from RefSeq and is a predicted model, not a curated record.